Long non-coding RNA from Cucumis melo (muskmelon), 2315 nucleotides. RefSeq lists it as uncharacterized. The record is from RefSeq and is a predicted model, not a curated record. The transcript has 2 exons. NCBI's taxonomy places the organism in Eukaryota, Viridiplantae, Streptophyta, Magnoliopsida, Cucurbitales, Cucurbitaceae.
UGUCUAUAAAUAAACCCAAAGCACUACUCCUCGCUUUUCCAUUUUCAACAAACCCCAUUUCCCUUUUUCUUCUCCCUCUUUUCUCUUUUCUUCUGCUCCGUUCAUCCCUUCCAUGCCUGGCCCUCCUUCCAAAUCCCACUUUUCCCUUAAAAAGAUCACCGGCUUUCAAUCUCCCACUCUCCAUUCUUCUUCUUCUUCUCAUCCUCCUCCUCCUCCUCCAUCGAGAGUCGCGAAAUAUAAUCCCACUCACGGAAGGUCCUGCUUCUUCUUUCGUUUUCUUCUUUUCCUUUUCGAAUUGCAAAAGCAUUCGUUGACUCUCCCUUUUUCUUGCUUUUGAUUUUUCUUCCUAAACCCCAUCGAUUUGUGUGCUGUUUGUGUGUGUGUGUGUGUGAUUGACUGAUUGUGUUCGCGAAGGAAAAGGUGAAGCUGCCAGCAUGAUCUACCUCUGGUCUGCUAGCUUGAAAAGACAAAAGCGUAAAGAUAAAGAGAUUGAUUCAUACCAAUUUCUUUUUUCUUGAUCCUCCAUUGCUAACCCUAGUUAGGUCAUGCUCUGACAGCCUCACUCCUUCCUACUCGCGAACUCUCCAGAAAUUUCAAUCUCCCUUCCAUUUCAACAACCAUCCUCGCUCAAUCGAGAGUAGAUAAGAAAUAAUGAAUUUAUAGAUGGAUGAAUGACUUAUAUUAAAAUCAUCGACAGAUUUAAUAUAGGUACUGAGACUGAGUCCCUCAUCUUUAUUGUUUUUAUAUAAUAUAUAUAUAUAAAGAAAAUUAUUUAAUUUUUAAUAUUUAUAGUUAGUUUAGCGAUUACUGUCAAUCUCCUUUCAACCCAAAUUCAAAUCUUAUUUAUGUAAUUUAUUUUUCAUAUUUUUCUUUUAGCUUCUUGUGAAUAUAUUUUCUUCUAGAUCUCACCGAUUAAAAUGGAAAACAAAAUAACAAGAUGAAAGUUGACAUAUUCAAUGUAUGUCUAUGGAAGUCGGUGGAGUGUAAUUUUCUUUUUACAAUAUGAAGUGAUGCAUUGAAAUAGAGAAGAUUUCAAUUUUAUGUUGUUUUAAAGCAUGAGCAGUGGGAUUAUGGAGAAAAUCAUUGUCAGAUUGUGGAGCUUUGGGUUGUUUUUUAAUUUUGUCUUGUAGUAAGCAUGGGGAGAAGUGUGCACGUGAUUGUAGAAAAAGAAUUACGUGGUGGGUAAGUAGGAUGAACAUAGGUGGGCGAUGGUAACACAUGAUUAAAUAAUGUAGACACAGAGAGUAUAGACACCUAGAGAACAAAACAAAUAAAAUCUUCAAUCUUUAAAAAGAAUCAAACUAGGAAAAAAUAAAGAAUCAAACGGAGCUUUUUCUCUUUCUCUUCUAUAGGCCUUUUGUUUUUCUUACCAGUAAUUAUUUUGUUUUAUUUUCUUACUAUAUUCAACUUUCCUUUAUAGGUCAGGUUUUCUUAUAGGCCACAAGAUUCUGCUUCUAUUGGUUUCAUUAUUAUUAAUAUAAAAAUUGUUUCCAAGAUCAUAAUUUUCAUCCCUCAGAUGAAAAUGAAAGGUCAUUUUAAUUGCCGAUAUUAGUUAAUAUUCGUUUUAUUUUCAAUGAAAGUAUAAUGGAAUAUUAGCGGUUUGUCUAGGCUUGAUUGAUUGCCUCUUUCUCAUCCCUUUCAAUUGCACAAACCACUCUUAGAGAAGAGCUAAAUAGUGUUAGUUGCAAUGAAACUUUGGAUCUUUUAAAUUUAAAAAUUGAGCUUAAUGUUAAAAUUAGAUUAAGAAAACAAUCAUAUACUUAUUUUUGUAUAAAUUUUGACAUUUUGGAAAUUUAGAGGUCCAAUAUUUACUAUUGUUACUGUUAUAACUUUUUAGGAUAUGAAUGAUUUAACAAUGUUGUUUAAUAAUUGAGUGGCUUGACAAGGCUGGAAUUCAAUUUACUUUGUGAUUGUAAUCCUUUGUCGACCAAGUGAUAGAAGAUUAUGAUUUAGUACUUAACAAUUUAGAUUAGAAGCUAAUUUGUAUAAAGAUUCAACCAUAUUAUGGAUUGUCUGAGGAGACUCCUCUACGAGAUAUAAAGUAUUAUAUUAAUCAACGCAUUGUAAUUUUUCCUAGGCAAUAAAGUGACUCGAGAAAUCUUUGAUAUUGACGUCAUCUCCCCAUUGUUUUCGUUGUGUUUAUGGUUACUUCAUGUGCCCUAUUUACCGCUGAAUGUACUGAGAUGGAAUCAGUCCUCCAAUAUUUAUAAUUUUGCGAAGUUAUUUUUUGGAAGAAUUCUUUUUUCUUUUCUUUAAUCAAAUGUAUUAUUAUUUAUAUUUGUUGAAAUCAUAGUAAUAACGAGUGCGUUUACACA